CAGCACCUCAAGUGGUCAGGAUGAUUAUUGGGCCUAAAGCAUCCGUAGCCUGCUCUGUAAGUUUUCGGUUAAAUCUGUACGCUCAACGUACAGGCUGCCGGGAAUACUGCAGCGCUAGGGAGUGGGAGAGGUAGACGGUACUCGGUAGGAAGGGGUAAAAUCCUUUGAUCUAUUGAUGACCACUUGUGGCGAAGGCGGUCUACCAGAACACGUCCGACGGUGAGGGAUGAAAGCUGGGGGAGCAAACCGGAUUAGAGACCCGAGUAGUCC
This 270-nucleotide ribosomal RNA is filed under the name uncultured archaeon. RNAcentral describes it as "partial 16S ribosomal RNA". It matches the Rfam family "Archaeal small subunit ribosomal RNA", at positions 477 to 747 of the family's 1478-position model. The record is from RNAcentral.